CUUUGGACAAUGGUAGGAGAGCGUUCUAAGGGCGUUGAAGCAUGAUCGUAAGGACAUGUGGAGCGCUUAGAAGUGAGAAUGCCGGUGUGAGUAGCGAAAGACGGGUGAGAAUCCCGUCCACCGAUUGACUAAGGUUUCCAGAGGAAGGCUCGUCCGCUCUGGGUUAGUCGGGUCCUAAGCUGAGGCCGACAGGCGUAGGCGAUGGAUAACAGGUUGAUAUUCCUGUACCACCUAUAAUCGUUUUAAUCGAUGGGGGGACGCAGUAGGAUAGGCGAAGCGUGCGAUUGGAUUGCACGUCUAAGCAGUAAGGCUGAGUAUUAGGCAAAUCCGGUACUCGUUAAGGCUGAGCUGUGAUGGGGAGAAGACAUUGUGUCUUCGAGUCGUUGAUUUCACACUGCCGAGAAAAGCCUCUAGAUAGAAAAUAGGUGCCCGUACCGCAAACCGACACAGGUAGUCAAGAUGAGAAUUCUAAGGUGAGCGAGCGAACUCUCGUUAAGGAACUCGGCAAAAUGACCCCGUAACUUCGGGAGAAGGGGUGCUCUUUAGGGUUAACGCCCAGAAGAGCCGCAGUGAAUAGGCCCAAGCGACUGUUUAUCAAAAACACAGGUCUCUGCUAAACCGUAAGGUGAUGUAUAGGGGCUGACGCCUGCCCGGUGCUGGAAGGUUAAGAGGAGUGGUUAGCUUCUGCGAAGCUACGAAUCGAAGCCCCAGUAAACGGCGGCCGUAACUAUAACGGUCCUAAGGUAGCGAAAUUCCUUGUCGGGUAAGUUCCGACCCGCACGAAAGGCGUAACGAUUUGGGCACUGUCUCAACGAGAGACUCGGUGAAAUCAUAGUACCUGUGAAGAUGCAGGUUACCCGCGACAGGACGGAAAGACCCCGUGGAGCUUUACUGUAGCCUGAUAUUGAAAUUCGGCACAGCUUGUACAGGAUAGGUAGGAGCCUUUGAAACGUGAGCGCUAGCUUACGUGGAGGCGCUGGUGGGAUACUACCCUAGCUGUGUUGGCUUUCUAACCCGCACCACUUAUC
Molecule: ribosomal RNA, 1028 nt
Filed under: Staphylococcus aureus
Lineage: Bacteria; Bacillati; Bacillota; Bacilli; Caryophanales; Staphylococcaceae
Description: partial 23S ribosomal RNA
Rfam family: Bacterial large subunit ribosomal RNA
Source: RNAcentral